RNAcentral lists this ribosomal RNA (1447 nucleotides) under uncultured organism. Its description in RNAcentral is "SSU rRNA". It matches the Rfam family "Bacterial small subunit ribosomal RNA". The record is from RNAcentral.
GCUACAGGCUUAACACAUGCAAGUCGAGGGGCAUCAGGAAGAAAGCUUGCUUUCUUUGCUGGCGACCGGCGCACGGGUGAGUAACACGUAUCCAACCUGCCCUUUACUCGGGGAUAGCCUUUCGAAAGAAAGAUUAAUACCCGAUAGCAUAAUGAUUCCGCAUGGUUUCAUUAUUAAAGGAUUCCGGUAAAGGAUGGGGAUGCGUUCCAUUAGGUUGUUGGUGAGGUAACGGCUCACCAAGCCUUCGAUGGAUAGGGGUUCUGAGAGGAAGGUCCCCCACAUUGGAACUGAGACACGGUCCAAACUCUUACGGGAGGCAGCAGUGAGGAAUAUUGGUCAAUGGGCGCUAGCCUGAACCAGCCAAGUAGCGUGAAGGAUGAAGGCUCUAUGGGUCGUAAACUUCUUUUAUAUAAGAAUAAAGUGCAGUAUGUAUACUGUUUUGUAUGUAUUAUAUGAAUAAGGAUCGGCUAACUCCGUGCCAGCAGCCGCGGUAAUACGGAGGAUCCGAGCGUUAUCCGGAUUUAUUGGGUUUAAAGGGAGCGUAGGUGGACUGGUAAGUCAGUUGUGAAAGUUUGCGGCUCAACCGUAAAAUUGCAGUUGAUACUGUCAGUCUUGAGUACAGUAGAGGUGGGCGGAAUUCGUGGUGUAGCGGUGAAAUGCUUAGAUAUCACGAAGAACUCCGAUUGCGAAGGCAGCUCACUGGACUGCAACUGACACUGAUGCUCGAAAGUGUGGGUAUCAAACAGGAUUAGAUACCCUGGUAGUCCACACAGUAAACGAUGAAUACUCGCUGUUUGCGAUAUACAGUAAGCGGCCAAGCGAAAGCAUUAAGUAUUCCACCUGGGGAGUACGCCGGCAACGGUGAAACUCAAAGGAAUUGACGGGGGCCCGCACAAGCGGAGGAACAUGUGGUUUAAUUCGAUGAUACGCGAGGAACCUUACCCGGGCUUAAAUUGCAGUGGAAUGAUGUGGAAACAUGUCAGUGAGCAAUCACCGCUGUGAAGGUGCUGCAUGGUUGUCGUCAGCUCGUGCCGUGAGGUGUCGGCUUAAGUGCCAUAACGAGCGCAACCCUUAUCUUCAGUUACUAACAGGUCAUGCUGAGGACUCUGGAGAGACUGCCGUCGUAAGAUGUGAGGAAGGUGGGGAUGACGUCAAAUCAGCACGGCCCUUACGUCCGGGGCUACACACGUGUUACAAUGGGGGGUACAGAAGGCAGCUAGCGGGUGACCGUAUGCUAAUCCCAAAAUCCUCUCUCAGUUCGGAUCGAAGUCUGCAACCCGACUUCGUGAAGCUGGAUUCGCUAGUAAUCGCGCAUCAGCCACGGCGCGGUGAAUACGUUCCCGGGCCUUGUACACACCGCCCGUCAAGCCAUGGGAGCCGGGGGUACCUGAAGUACGUAACCGCAAGGAUCGUCCUAGGGUAAAACUGGUGACUGGGGCUAAGUCGU